Long non-coding RNA from Oncorhynchus keta (chum salmon), 636 nucleotides. RefSeq lists it as uncharacterized. The transcript is spliced from 2 exons. NCBI's taxonomy places the organism in Eukaryota, Metazoa, Chordata, Actinopteri, Salmoniformes, Salmonidae. The record is from RefSeq and is a predicted model, not a curated record.
GAGCUUCAGAAGAUGUCUUUGACCAGGGACUCCCUGGACCAGGGUGUUAUGACUGAGCUUCAGAAGAUGUCUUUGACCAGGGACUCCCUGGACCAGCGUGUUAUGAGCUUCAGAAGAUGUCUUUGACCAGGGACUCCCUGGACCAGCGUGGUGUUAUGGUGAAGAGAACAUUUAAUGCACUGAAAGGAUGAAAUAGGAGGAACAAGAAGAUGUGUAAGAGAUUGGUGGAGACAGAUGCAGUUUCACUGCUAAUUCUAUAGAUUGUCAGAGCUCUGUUGGGACAACUUUUUUUUCUUCUGUUAUUGCCAAUGAAUGUAACCCUGUCAUCAACCAAAGGUGCUACCCUGCUCUUAAAAAAUGUAAACUCAAGGUAUAGACUGUCACAGUACAAACGGUUGGUGUUUCAAAUGGACCCAAGUAAAAUAUCCAUAGCUCCCCUGCUGGUCCAAAUACAACACUACAGGCCACUUUGAUGACAGCAGUGUUGACUCUGGAACACUGACCCUCAACUACUCAUGAUAUGCACUUUGUCAAACCUUAUGGGUGAGCUAUUUUCUGUUUCAAAAACAAUUGUGCAGCAAUAUAUAUAUAUAUAUAUCAACUUUAUAAUGCUUUGGAAUAAAAUGCAUAAUGUGG